This 484-nucleotide ribosomal RNA is filed under the name uncultured bacterium. RNAcentral's name for it is "partial 16S ribosomal RNA". It matches the Rfam family "Bacterial small subunit ribosomal RNA", at positions 30 to 507 of the family's 1533-position model. The record is from RNAcentral.
AUUGAACGCUGGCGGCAGGCCUAACACAUGCAAGUCGAGCGGAUGAAGGGAGCUUGCUCCUGGAUUCAGCGGCGGACGGGUGAGUAAUGCCUAGGAAUCUGCCUGGUAGUGGGGGAUAACGUCCGGAAACGGGCGCUAAUACCGCAUACGUCCUGCGGGAGAACGUGGGGGAUCUUCGGACCUCACGCUAUCAGAUGAGCCUAGGUCGGAUUAGCUAGUUGGUGGGGUAAAGGCCUACCAAGGCGACGAUCCGUAACUGGUCUGAGAGGAUGAUCAGUCACACUGGAACUGAGACACGGUCCAGACUCCUACGGGAGGCAGCAGUGGGGAAUAUUGGACAAUGGGCGAAAGCCUGAUCCAGCCAUGCCGCGUGUGUGAAGAAGGUCUUCGGAUUGUAAAGCACUGUAAGUUGGGAGGAAGGGCAGUAAGUUAAUACCUUGCUGUUUUGACGGUACCAACAGAAUAAGCACCGGCUAACUUCGUG